This 753-nucleotide ribosomal RNA is filed under the name uncultured Comamonadaceae bacterium. RNAcentral describes it as "bacterial SSU rRNA". It matches the Rfam family "Bacterial small subunit ribosomal RNA", at positions 28 to 776 of the family's 1533-position model. Lineage: Bacteria; Pseudomonadati; Pseudomonadota; Betaproteobacteria; Burkholderiales; Comamonadaceae. The record is from RNAcentral.
GACGAACGCUGGCGGCGUGCCUAAUACAUGCAAGUCGAACGGCAGCACGGGAGCAAUCCUGGUGGCGAGUGGCGAACGGGUGAGUAAUAUAUCGGAACGUGCCCAGUAGUGGGGGAUAGCCCGGCGAAAGCCGGAUUAAUACCGCAUACGACCUGAGGGUGAAAGCGGGGGAUCGUAAGACCUCGCGCUAUUGGAGCGGCCGAUAUCAGAUUAGCUAGUUGGUGGGGUAAAGGCCUACCAAGGCUACGAUCUGUAGUUGGUCUGAGAGGACGACCAGCCACACUGGGACUGAGACACGGCCCAGACUCCUACGGGAGGCAGCAGUGGGGAAUUUUGGACAAUGGGCGCAAGCCUGAUCCAGCAAUGCCGCGUGCAGGAAGAAGGCCUUCGGGUUGUAAACUGCUUUUGUCAGGGAAGAAAUCUUCUGGGCUAAUACCCCGGGAGGAUGACGGUACCUGAAGAAUAAGCACCGGCUAACUACGUGCCAGCAGCCGCGGUAAUACGUAGGGUGCGAGCGUUAAUCGGAAUUACUGGGCGUAAAGCGUGCGCAGGCGGCUUUGCAAGACAGAUGUGAAAUCCCCGGGCUCAACCUGGGAACUGCAUUUGUGACUGCAAGGCUAGAGUACGGCAGAGGGGGAUGGAAUUCCGCGUGUAGCAGUGAAAUGCGUAGAUAUGCGGAGGAACACCAAUGGCGAAGGCAAUCCCCUGGGCCUGUACUGACGCUCAUGCACGAAAGCGUGGGGAGCAAACAGG